Molecule: ribosomal RNA, 931 nt
Filed under: uncultured delta proteobacterium
Lineage: Bacteria; Deltaproteobacteria
Description: bacterial SSU rRNA
Rfam family: Bacterial small subunit ribosomal RNA
Source: RNAcentral
AGAGUUUGAUCCUGGCUCAGAACGAACGCUGGCGGCGUGCUUAACACAUGCAAGUCGAACGAGAAAGCUUCCUUCGGGAAGUAAGUAGAGUGGCGCACGGGUGAGUAACGCGUAGGUAAUCUACCCUUAUAACUGGGAUAACAUUGGGAAACUGGUGCUAAUACCGGAUACACUUCUUUACUGCGGGGUAAAGGAGGAAAGGUGGCCUCUUCAUGAAAGCUACCGUAUAGGGAUGAGCCUGCGUACCAUUAGCUAGUAGGCGGGGUAACGGCCCACCUAGGCAACGAUGGUUAGCGGGUCUGAGAGGAUGAUCCGCCACACUGGAACUGGAACACGGACCAGACUCCUACGGGAGGCAGCAGUGAGGAAUAUUGCGCAAUGGGGGAAACCCUGACGCAGCGACGCCGCGUGAGUGAGGAAGGUUUUCGGAUCGUAAAGCUCUGUCAGAAGGGAAGAAGUGUUAUAUGUUUAAUACGCAUAUAAUUUGACGGUACCUUCAGAGGAAGCACCGGCUAACUCCGUGCCAGCAGCCGCGGUAAUACGGAGGGUGCAAGCGUUGUUCGGAAUUACUGGGCGUAAAGGGCGCGUAGGCGGCUGGAUAAGUCAGAUGUGAAAGUCCAUGGCUCAACUGCGGAAGUGCAUUUGAAACUGUCCGGCUUGAGUAUCGGAGGGGAGUGUGGAAUUCCCGGUGUAGAGGUGAAAUUCGUAGAGAUCGGGAGGAACACCGGUGGCGAAGGCGACACUCUGGACGAAUACUGACGCUGAGGCGCGAAAGCGUGGGGAGCAAACAGGAUUAGAUACCCUGGUAGUCCACGCCGUAAACGAUGUGAACUAGGGAUAGGGGGUGUUGAUCCCUCCUGUCCCGCAGCUAACGCAUUAAGUUCACCGCCUGGGGAGUACGGUCGCAAGAUUAAACUCAAGGAAUUGACGG